Molecule: long non-coding RNA, 565 nt
Filed under: Capra hircus (goat)
Lineage: Eukaryota; Metazoa; Chordata; Mammalia; Artiodactyla; Bovidae
Description: lncRNA (ENSCHIG00000007794.1)
Source: RNAcentral
CCUAAUCCUCCUUGGGUUUGUCGUAAUCCAGCUCUGUUCUGGGGAGAGAUGCUGGGUGUCUGGCCUCAGUGCAAAUGGGCAGAGGAGACCAGGUACCUGCUCUCUGGGGCUGGGACUCUGGGUCCUGGAGACAAGGAGAGCGGCCCUGAGUAUGCCAGCCCUGCGGCCCCAGGAGGCUGAACCACGGCAGGGAGAGAGGCGUGACUUCCCUCCGCUGGAUGUUACCCCCACCCCAGGGGGCUCAGAGGACUCAGGGGAGGUGGCCUGCCCUUGUGCUCUCCCAGAGGAUGGGGAGGAAACAGCUUUGAAGGUUGGACGGUUGCCCAGCAAGCUCCAGAUUCAAGGCCUGUCUCCCCGCAGCCCUUUCCACCUCCAGACUUCACACACAAACUGCUCCCAUCUAUUGUCCAGAAGAGAAAAGACUCAAGUAGCAUGUUCUGCCUCCAUCCCACUGAAGGGUCAUGAGUGGAGUGCUGGCCGGGUGUACCUCAACCUGAACAGGGGACGGGGAUUUCCCACUGUAUUUUUUUUUUUUUUUGAUGUGGGCUAUAAUUAAAGUCUUUAU